This 518-nucleotide ribosomal RNA is filed under the name uncultured bacterium. RNAcentral's name for it is "bacterial SSU rRNA". It matches the Rfam family "Bacterial small subunit ribosomal RNA", at positions 354 to 884 of the family's 1533-position model. The record is from RNAcentral.
UUCGUGGCUUUUGCGCAUGGGGGAAACCUGAGCAGCAACGCCGCGUGGAGGAGAAGUCCCUUGGGACGUAAACUCCUUUUCGACCGGGACGAUAAUGACGGUACCGGUGGAAGAAGCCCCGGCUAACUCCGUGCCAGCAGCCGCGGUAAUACGGGGGGGGCAAGCGUUGUUCGGAAUUAUUGGGCGUAAAGGGCGCGUAGGCGGUGCGUGCAAGUCUCCUGUGAAAUCCCCGGGCUCAACUCGGGGUCUGCUGGGAGAAACUGCCGUGCUGGGAUGUGGGAGAGGUGAGUGGAAUUCCCGGUGUAGCGGUGAAAUGAGUAGAUAUCGGGGGGAAACACCUGUGGUGAAGGCAGGCUCACUGGACCACAACUUAACUCUCAGACCCGAAAGCUAGGGGGGGCAAACAGGAAUAGAAACCCUGGUAGUCCCUAGCCUUCAACUAUGAACGCUUUUGUGCGGAGAAUACCUAUCCCGUUGUGCCAGCGCUAACGCUAUAAGCAUUCCACCUGGGGAGUACC